RNAcentral lists this ribosomal RNA (711 nucleotides) under Klebsiella oxytoca. RNAcentral describes it as "bacterial SSU rRNA". It matches the Rfam family "Bacterial small subunit ribosomal RNA", at positions 642 to 1344 of the family's 1533-position model. Lineage: Bacteria; Pseudomonadati; Pseudomonadota; Gammaproteobacteria; Enterobacterales; Enterobacteriaceae. The record is from RNAcentral.
UGGAGUUCUUGUANAAGGGGGGUAAAAUUCCAGGGUGAACCGGGUGAAAUUGCGUANAGAUCUGGAGAAAUACCGGGUGGCGAAGGCGGCCCCCCUGGACAAAGACUUGACGGNUCAGGUGCGAAAGCGUGGGAAGCAAACAGGAUUAGAUACCNUGGUAGUCCACGCUGUAAACGAUGUCGACUUGGAGGUUGUUCCCUUGAGGAGUGGCUUCCGGAGCUAACGCGUUAAGUCGACCGCCUGGGGAGUACGGCCGCAAGGUUAAAACUCAAAUGAAUUGACGGGGGCCCGCACAAGCGGUGGAGCAUGUGGUUUAAUUCGAUGCAACGCGAAGAACCUUACCUACUCUUGACAUCCANNGAAUUUAGCAGAGAUGCUUUNGUGCCUUCGGGAACUGUGAGACAGGUGCUGCAUGGCUGUCGUCAGCUCGUGUUGUGAAAUGUUGGGUUAAGUCCCGCAACGAGCGCAACCCUUAUCCUUUGUUGCCAGCGAUUCGGUCGGGAACUCAAAGGAGACUGCCAGUGAUAAACUGGAGGAAGGUGGGGAUGACGUCAAGUCAUCAUGGCCCUUACGAGUAGGGCUACACACGUGCUACAAUGGCAUAUACAAAGAGAAGCGACCUCGCGAGAGCAAGCGGACCUCAUAAAGUAUGUCGUAGUCCGGAUUGGAGUCUGCAACUCGACUCCAUGAAGUCGGAAUCGCUAGUAAUCG